AUACUAACCUGGCAGGGGAGACACCAUGAUCACGAAGGUGGUUUUCCCAGAGCGAGGCUUAUCCAUUGCACUCUGGAUGUGCUGACCCCUUCAGUUUCCAAAAAUGUGGAAAACUCAACUGCAUAAUUUAUGGUAGUGGGGGACUACAUUCGUGCUCUCCUG
This 162-nucleotide small nuclear RNA is filed under the name Colobus angolensis palliatus. RNAcentral's name for it is "U1 spliceosomal RNA (ENSCANG00000004820.1)". It matches the Rfam family "U1 spliceosomal RNA". Rfam says of the family: U1 is a small nuclear RNA (snRNA) component of the spliceosome (involved in pre-mRNA splicing). Its 5' end forms complementary base pairs with the 5' splice junction, thus defining the 5' donor site of an intron. There are significant differences in sequence and secondary structure between metazoan and yeast U1 snRNAs, the latter being much longer (568 nucleotides as compared to 164 nucleotides in human). Lineage: Eukaryota; Metazoa; Chordata; Mammalia; Primates; Cercopithecidae. The record is from RNAcentral.